GCUGGAAUAACUCAGUUGGUUAGAGCAUGUGGUUCUUAACCACAAGGUCAGAGGUUUAAGCCCUCCUUCUAGAA
Picea glauca (white spruce) is the source of this 74-nucleotide non-coding RNA. Lineage: Eukaryota; Viridiplantae; Streptophyta; Pinopsida; Pinales; Pinaceae. The record is from Rfam.